RNAcentral lists this ribosomal RNA (496 nucleotides) under uncultured bacterium. Its description in RNAcentral is "partial 16S ribosomal RNA". It matches the Rfam family "Bacterial small subunit ribosomal RNA", at positions 28 to 506 of the family's 1533-position model. The record is from RNAcentral.
GACGAACGCUGGCGGCGUGCCUAAUACAUGCAAGUUGAGCGCUGAAGGUUGGUACUUGUACCAACUGGAUGAGCAGCGAACGGGUGAGUAACGCGUGGGGAAUCUGCCUUUGAGCGGGGGACAACAUUUGGAAACGAAUGCUAAUACCGCAUAAAAACUUUAAACACAAGUUUUAAGUUUGAAAGAUGCAAUUGCAUCACUCAAAGAUGAUCCCGCGUUGUAUUAGCUAGUUGGUGAGGUAAAGGCUCACCAAGGCGAUGAUACAUAGCCGACCUGAGAGGGUGAUUGGCCACAUUGGGACUGAGACACGGCCCAAACUCCUACGGGAGGCAGCAGUAGGGAAUCUUCGGCAAUGGACGAAAGUCUGACCGAGCAACGCCGCGUGAGUGAAGAAGGUUUUCGGAUCGUAAAACUCUGUUGGUAGAGAAGAACGUUGGUGAGAGUGGAAAGCUCAUCAAGUGACGGUAACUACCCAGAAAGGGACGGCUAACUACGU